Non-coding RNA from Crucibulum laeve, 88 nucleotides. NCBI's taxonomy places the organism in Eukaryota, Fungi, Basidiomycota, Agaricomycetes, Agaricales, Nidulariaceae. The record is from the annotation of a GenBank genome assembly.
UCUUUGUUAGUAUAUCGGUUAGUACACGCGCUUGUCAUCAUACAUAUCAGGUGCGCGCGAAAGCUGGGUUCGACUCCCAGACAGAGAG